RNAcentral lists this ribosomal RNA (414 nucleotides) under Triticum aestivum (bread wheat). Its description in RNAcentral is "partial small subunit ribosomal RNA". The record is from RNAcentral. Lineage: Eukaryota; Viridiplantae; Streptophyta; Magnoliopsida; Poales; Poaceae.
AUGGAAGAGCUCGACGAGUUCGAGGUGCUCUGGCCGGAGUACUACGCCGGCCACGCCCACGCCGACGAUGACCACAAGCCACUGCCGAGCGUGCAGAGCCCGGCCACGUCGUGGCAGCGGCGCGCGGCAGGGUCUCGGCCGGUGGACGUUCCCCCCAGCAGGGCCGCCGUGCUGUUGCUACGGUGGAAAGACGGUACUGAUCAUCAAGACGACUUGAUGGAGAAGGACGGCGGCGGCGGCAAGAUCAUGGUGCCGCCGCACCUGCUGGUCUCCGGCAGGCGGCUGUCCGACGGGGAGGCCGCCGCGGCGUACACGCUGCUGCGGUCGGGGGUGGCAAGGCACGGCAAGCGGGCGCGCGACCUGCGCCACCUGCGCAACUCCGUGCUGCGGAUGACCGGCUUCAUCGAAGGAUGA